GUGUCAGCCGCCGCGGUAAUACGGAGGGUGCAAGCAUUAUCCGGAUUUAUUGGGUUUAAAGGGUCCGCAGGCGGACCGGUAAGUCAGUGGUGAAAGCCUUCAGCUUAACUGGAGAACUGCCAUUGAUACUGUCGGUCUUGAGUUCGGUUGAAGUGGGCGGAAUAUGUGGUGUAGCGGUGAAAUGCAUAGAUAUCACAUAGAACACCGAUUGCGAAGGCAGCUCACUAAACCGAUACUGACGCUCAGGGACGAAAGCGUGGGGAGCGAACAGGAUUAGAUACCCUGGUAGUCCACGCUGUAAACGAUGAUAACUCGCUGUUGGCGAUAUACAGUCAGCGGCCAAGCGAAAGCGUUAAGUUAUCCACCUGGGGAGUACGAUCGCAAGGUUGAAACUCAAAUGAAUUGGCGGGG
RNAcentral lists this ribosomal RNA (411 nucleotides) under uncultured prokaryote. RNAcentral describes it as "bacterial SSU rRNA". It matches the Rfam family "Bacterial small subunit ribosomal RNA", at positions 505 to 918 of the family's 1533-position model. The record is from RNAcentral.